This 82-nucleotide small nucleolar RNA is filed under the name Carlito syrichta (Philippine tarsier). RNAcentral's name for it is "Small nucleolar RNA SNORD115 (ENSTSYG00000036297.1)". It matches the Rfam family "Small nucleolar RNA SNORD115". Rfam says of the family: HBII-52 is a member of the C/D class of snoRNAs, which contain the C (UGAUGA) and D (CUGA) box motifs. HBII-52 is encoded in a tandemly repeated array with another C/D snoRNA, HBII-85, in the Prader-Willi syndrome (PWS) region of chromosome 15. Lineage: Eukaryota; Metazoa; Chordata; Mammalia; Primates; Tarsiidae. The record is from Rfam by way of RNAcentral.
GAGUCAAUGAUGAAGACUUUAUAUUGUGUUGAAGAGAGGUGAUGACUUAAAAUUCAUGUACAAUGGCAUGAUGCUGAGGCCC